UUGUGGAUGCAGCUCAGUGAUAGAGCCUCUGCCUAGCAUGCAAAAUGCCCUGGGUUCAAGUCACAAUACUGCAAA
RNAcentral lists this transfer RNA (75 nucleotides) under Marmota monax (woodchuck). RNAcentral describes it as "tRNA.Ala". The record is from RNAcentral. Lineage: Eukaryota; Metazoa; Chordata; Mammalia; Rodentia; Sciuridae.